GGUAAGGAAGACAGACCCAGGGAACUGAAACAUCUAAGUACCUGGAGGAAGAGAAAGCAAAUGCGAUUUCCUGAGUAGCGGCGAGCGAAACGGAACAUAGCCCAAACCAAGAGGCUUGCCUCUUGGGGUUGUAGGACAUUCUAUACGGAGUUACAAAGGAACGAGGUAGACGAAGCGACCUGGAAAGGUCCGUCGUAGAGGGUAACAACCCCGUAGUCGAAACUUCGUUCUCUCUUGAAUGUAUCCUGAGUACGGCGGAACACGUGAAAUUCCGUCGGAAUCUGGGAGGACCAUCUCCCAAGGCUAAAUACUCCCUAGUGAUCGAUAGUGAACCAGUACCGUGAGGGAAAGGUGAAAAGCACCCCGGAAGGGGAGUGAAAGAGAUCCUGAAACCGUGUGCCUACAAAUAGUCAGAGCCCGUUAACGGGUGAUGGCGUGCCUUUUGUAGAAUGAACCGGCGAGUUACGAUCCCGUGCGAGGUUAAGCUGAAGAGGCGGAGCCGCAGCGAAAGCGAGUCUGAAUAGGGCGUUUAGUACGUGGUCGUAGACCCGAAACCAGGUGAUCUACCCAUGUCCAGGGUGAAGUUC
Molecule: ribosomal RNA, 587 nt
Filed under: Salmonella enterica subsp. enterica serovar Typhimurium
Lineage: Bacteria; Pseudomonadati; Pseudomonadota; Gammaproteobacteria; Enterobacterales; Enterobacteriaceae
Description: partial 23S ribosomal RNA
Rfam family: Bacterial large subunit ribosomal RNA
Source: RNAcentral